AAUCUUCCACAAUGGACGAAAGUCUGAUGGAGCAACGCCGCGUGAGUGAAGAAGGUUUUCGGAUCGUAAAACUCUGUCAUUGGGGAAGAAUAAAUGACGGUACCCAAUGAGGAAGCCCCGGCUAACUUCGUGCCAGCAGCCGCGGUAAUACGAAGGGGGCUAGCGUUGUUCGGAAUUACUGGGCGUAAAGCGCACGUAGGCGGAUUGGUCAGUUAGGGGUGAAAUCCCGGAGCUUAACUCCGGAACUGCCUUUAAUACUGCCAGUCUAGAGACCGAGAGAGGUAAGUGGAACUCCUAGUGUAGAGGUGGAAUUCGUAGAUAUUAGGAAGAACACCAGUGGCGAAGGCGGCUUACUGGCUCGGAACUGACGCUGAGGUGCGAAAGCGUGGGGAGCAAACA
This 399-nucleotide ribosomal RNA is filed under the name uncultured bacterium. RNAcentral's name for it is "partial 16S ribosomal RNA". It matches the Rfam family "Bacterial small subunit ribosomal RNA", at positions 360 to 774 of the family's 1533-position model. The record is from RNAcentral.